Molecule: long non-coding RNA, 878 nt
Filed under: Zostera marina
Lineage: Eukaryota; Viridiplantae; Streptophyta; Magnoliopsida; Alismatales; Zosteraceae
Description: long non-coding RNA (ZMAR_LNC005817)
Source: RNAcentral
CGCAACAUAUUACAUAGAAUUGUUGAAUUGCAUUUCAAAUUUCCCCUUAAUUUCUAAAGUGGAUCUACACUGUGGUGUUUGGUUAGUUCCGACAACUGCACUGCGCAUGCUACAAUCCUGUGGAGGAAAAGAAGAACAUUUAGCUAACUCUAUUGGUUGGUGUUUUAUUUUGUCUCGUCUCUUUCAACAUGUGGCCUUGUGGGGUUUGGAGUUCCUCUUACUUAAUUCUAAGGUCGAAUUCCUGUUUAUCAUUAAUUGUAUUGAUCUUCUUUGUUCUGAGAAUGCAGAAGCAGUGGAGCCGACUGGAGAUCCAGUGAAGAUGAACAGUGCGAAUUACGAAGAAGAUUUUAAGAAUGUUUGAGAAGCAAAACGAACUAAUAAAAUAGUUCACUCAAGUAUUCUAGGCCCAAGAGGCCCACACUAAUAUCUCUCAACUGCCUAAUAACCUGAUUACUACUAAUAAAUAUCCCUCGUACAUCUGUUUUGCAGAUUUCCAGAAGACCGUGCUACUCGGAGCACCUACGUUACGACUGAUUUGGAUCAUUCCACGAUUAUAAUUCAGUAUCGAAUGAUCUCCGACAUCACUGGACAGUCUGGAUGCAGCUCCUCGAUCGUUACGAUCCCUUCAAUCAUCACGUUACAACAUCGACGGUUCAAUACAAACAACGCCGUAGACGCAUCGCCGACGGAUCACUGCUCCGUCAUCGUUUGGCAUGACCAUCAUGAUUCCAAAUCGAUUUGCACUCCAAAUCACCGACUAUGUUUAUUUAAAUAAUUAUCAAUGUUGACAGAACUGUAUUAUCAUUGAUUGAGAAUGAAUUAAAAAUUUAUUAGAUUACAAAUCAUCCCAACAGCGAGAAACUCAGAAAUGAGAAUGU